GGGAUGGAGCAGCCCGGUAGCUCGUCAGGCUCAUAACCUGAAGGUCGUAGGUUCAAAUCCUACUCCCGCAACCA
This 74-nucleotide transfer RNA is filed under the name Yoonia vestfoldensis DSM 16212. Its description in RNAcentral is "tRNA-Met(cat)". It matches the Rfam family "tRNA". From Rfam's summary of the family: Transfer RNA (tRNA) molecules are approximately 80 nucleotides in length. Their secondary structure includes four short double-helical elements and three loops (D, anti-codon, and T loops). Lineage: Bacteria; Pseudomonadati; Pseudomonadota; Alphaproteobacteria; Rhodobacterales; Paracoccaceae. RNAcentral also lists the same sequence under 1 other name. The record is from RNAcentral.